Long non-coding RNA from Hibiscus syriacus, 1023 nucleotides. RefSeq lists it as uncharacterized. NCBI's taxonomy places the organism in Eukaryota, Viridiplantae, Streptophyta, Magnoliopsida, Malvales, Malvaceae. The transcript has 5 exons. The record is from RefSeq and is a predicted model, not a curated record.
UCAGCCCCAUAUCAACAUCUCUCCAUUCUUUUCCUUCGUCUUCCCACUUUCGCAUGCCACGGCCGAGACUUCAAGAGCUUUAGAACCAACUCCGACCAUCGCGACUAUAAUGAGGAUUCAACAAGCUCAGGUAACAUAACUAUAAUUCUCUUAUUACUCUAUUUCCAUCUCCUUCUCCCAAACCGAGAGUUCCAAAACUCUCUACGCCGGCCGCCGUGCCGUGGUAGCUGCACUCCUCUCUGAUCCAAGCUUAAACUUGAGACCUAAGCCUCUCGAGUUUCUACUCAAAGACCCAAAAACCUAAGCAAACAGCCAUGUAAUCCAAUACUUCCAAUUCCAAAAUGCUAAACUUGACCGAAAAGAUUUUAUAGCUUCGACCUUCUCUCCUCCGGCUAUGGGAGCACGCAACACUAAGGAUUCGAAAAACUUACAGCACUCUUACGAACCUUCGGCGACGAUCCGAACACAGCAAGAUCAACUCGUCGGUGGUGCUUCACGUGGGAUUUCGAAUGAGAGCCCAGGACAAAUCGAGCAUCUACAAUGCACAUGCAGGAUUGUGUAUGAUGAAUAUGAAGAAGUUCAGAACUGCCCCAUGGUUACCGUGGAGUGGACAAACAGGAUCACCCUGUUUAUAUUGAAGGAAUUGGUAAAACUGACCCUGCCAAGCUGAUGAAGAUCACUACAGUCGAAAGAUUUUUAAAAUAUCAUGUGCAGGGAUUUGAGAAGGCUUUUUUGGAGAAGUUUCCUGCCUGUUUUGUUGCUGCUCAGAGGAACAUAGAUCGUACGACAACAAUAUUAGAUUUCCAGGGGUUGAACUGGGUGAGUUUGGCAAGGUUUCACAUGAUCUCUUGAUGCACAUACAGCACAUUGAUGGUGGCAACUAUCCUGAGACUUUACAUCAAAUGUACAAAGUUAAUGCUGGAAGUGGAUUCAAACUACUGUGGAACACAGAAAAAGGCUUUCUUGAUCCAAAUACUACUGCAAAGGUUCAUGUAUAAUAAGUGCUUAAUUUAGUCAAUAUUU